UGUAACAGUCAUACCAUCCUUCGAGUGUCCGAUUUAGUCCAAUCUUGGAAACUAAGCAGGGCCGGACCUGGUUGGUUACUUCAAUGGGAGACCAGCUUGGAAGACCAGGGGCUGUUAGUU
RNAcentral lists this ribosomal RNA (120 nucleotides) under Mastacembelus armatus (zig-zag eel). The record is from RNAcentral. Lineage: Eukaryota; Metazoa; Chordata; Actinopteri; Synbranchiformes; Mastacembelidae.